This 253-nucleotide ribosomal RNA is filed under the name uncultured bacterium. RNAcentral's name for it is "partial 16S ribosomal RNA". It matches the Rfam family "Bacterial small subunit ribosomal RNA", at positions 524 to 776 of the family's 1533-position model. The record is from RNAcentral.
UACGAGGGGGGCAAGCGUUGUUCGGAAUUAUUGGGCGUAAAGGGCGCGUAGGCGGCCUGGCAAGUGGAAGGUGAAAUCCCUCGGCUUAACCGAGGAACUGCCCUCCAAACUGCUUGGCUUGAGUCCGGGAGAGGUGAGUGGAAUUCCCAGUGUAGCGGUGAAAUGCGUAGAUAUCUGGAGGAACACCGGUGGCGAAGGCGGCGUCCUGGACCAACACUGACACUGAUGAGCGAAAGCCAGGGGAGCAAACGGG